CACAGCAACACAAGAGCGUCUGUAGCAACGGUGAAUAAUCCUGUUGCUGGGUUUGCACAUUUUCCUUCACUGCUGGACCAGAACAAUCUUUCUAAACAUAACCCGCUGAAGUGUCACUACUGUAUUUAGUAAAGGUACGUGAUGUCCAGCAGAAAACAGCUGGUGGAGUUUCUGCGCGAAUGGGACCGCGGCGGCGCGGCGGCGCGGAGCCACAUGCUAGAGGUGUUCGUGGGCCGCAGUCUGGGGGAGACCGGCCCGGAGCUGGAGCUGCGCUUCGCCCAAGCGGCCAGUCUGUUUCUGGCCAGACUCACGGCGUGGGUUAGGCUGCACUAUAUGUUUGGGACAUACUUGGGGCUGCAGCUUAGAGCUGUGUCUGUGUUUCUUUCAGCUUCGAACAGUCACCGUUACCUCACUGAGUUUCUUGAAGUGGGAGGGGUUCUUACUCUGUUGGAAAUCUUAAAUCAGAAACAGAUAAAAGAUGAGGAUAAGACAGAAGCCCUCCGUCUAUUGCAGAUCAUUUCCAACGCGGGUCGGAAGUACAAAGAGUUCAUUUGUGAAAACUUCGGAGUCCAAGCCAUCGUGGAAUGUCUGGCCAAGUCCACAUCUGUGGACACCAAGGAGACAGCCAGUGUCCUGCUGGAGUCCCUGGCUCAUGGCAACUAUAAAUACCAGAAGCAGGUCUACAAAGGGCUAGUGGCCUUGCUGCAGUGCACUUCCCCUACGGCUCAGCAACUUGCUCUGCAGAACCUCCGCACUGCACAUAAAAUUGUGAAUUCUGCUCAUCCUAAAAUUAUAGAGCCUUUGUUGAAUAUGCUGAAGUCAUUAAACCUUGAAGUCCAAUAUGAAGCUAUAGAAUUAAUCAGAGAUUUAAUGGCAUAUGAUGAAGUUAAACCAGCUCUUCUGAAGGGUCUGGUCGCUUUGUUGAAACCAGUGAAAAAAGAACCACAGCAAUAUCAAAUCCUUAAAGAUCCUGAAAGAAUCAACAUGACGGCAUCGUUGCCUGUUUUUAUUCAACAAGCAGCUGCAGCAAAAGCUAUAAGGAUGCUGUCGCAGGGCAGCAGUCAGCUGUCACAUGAUCUGCUUCACCAUGAUGUAAUGCAUCAUGUGCUGUAUGCCAUGGGUAACAGGGAGCAUGCAGAUUCCCAGAAGCAGGCCUGCCUGGCUCUGAAGCAAUUUGUCCACACUCACCCAGUCCUGGAGGGGCAUGUACAAGCAGCAAUGGGGGUCACGUUGUUUGACUUGUUCAUGAAUAAUCCUGAGGCUUUGUACAUGAAGAUGAAUGACAUUCAAGCAGAUAUAUUGGUGUCAAACAAAACAAACAUUUCUGAAGGUAAGAAGGUUGUGGGUUCCACACUUAACCUUGUGGUGACAUUCCUUAAUAUCAUUAGUUUAGUUUGCUGCAUCUGUAGUAAGUAAAUCCUGCAAUUUAAUUUCAAUUCUUUAAAAAAAUAGAAAUUAACCUCCGAGAUGGUAUACCUGUCAAAGCAAGGUGUACCCAGCAGUAGGGAUCGUAGGGCUGAGAUAUACAGCAUAUACAUGGCGGAUAUGUGGAUGUAGGCCUGUGGAGCCUGUGGACUCAUGACUGGACCUACCUUUUCAGGGGUCCUAGGCAAGCUUUUGCUGGGAGUCCCCCCUAGCAACACAGUUCUUGAAGAGUGUGCAUGCUGACAGAACUCCCUUAUGUGUUGCAUGCAUUGAAGUACUUGUCAGUAAAUACACAACUGACACUUUGAAGGUCUGUCUUUCUAAUCCUGGCAUUACUUAUAUAAAGUAUAAAGGAGAUGUGUCACUCAAUCCGCAUCGCUAACUGCUUAUUCCAGCCCACCCAACACAAACAAAAGACACAAACACACAGAGAGUGCAGAAGUGGUUAAGACACCCCCCCCCCCAGGAGACAUGAGGCAACACUGUUACGCAUUAAGCCACUGUAUCUCUCAGAAGGAUGCUGUUCGUAGGUAUUGUAAGGUGAUUUACAGACAUCUUGAAUUUGAAAACUCCUCUUGGAUCUUUAUGACCAGGCCCAAAUACAAUCAGUCUUUCUUCAUCCAUGCCUAUGGUUCUGGGCAUCAUUCCUACCAGAGGAAACUUCACAUUCUCCCUGGUGAAACUCAAUUGAAGGAUUACAAAUGCAAUGCAUUUCCCUGCCUUUCUUUUUAAUUAGAAUCUAAUACUGGUUAUAGUUUAUCAUCUGACUUUUAUAAAACAUUUUAUUUGGACCCCAGAAAUAAGUAAUUUAACUACUGAUAUUAUUCAAAUAACAACAAUCCUGCUGCGCUU
Paramormyrops kingsleyae is the source of this 2277-nucleotide RNA transcript. It is a transcript of the gene named mutY DNA glycosylase, with no coding region annotated. Lineage: Eukaryota; Metazoa; Chordata; Actinopteri; Osteoglossiformes; Mormyridae. The record is from RefSeq and is a predicted model, not a curated record.